CUUUCAGAUGCAGACAUUUAAGAUCUGUGGCAGAGCGCCCCUCCUGGGUCAGGGGGUUUUCCCUGAGAAGGAAGUCCAGGCAGAUAGCUGCAGUCAAGGCCAAGUGUGCCAGGCAGUCCUCUUGCGAGAUGUCUCUGAUCCCAGAUGUCUGAGGCCAGGUGUCAUUGCUGCCCUAGGCGUGUGAAGGAACAGAGUCAAGCGGGUAUCCUCCUGGCAGCCUGUUGAGUCGCAUCAAGAUUUCAGGUACCGUGAGGAGGCGCAUAGCUGAAGUUUGGAAACGGCAGCACCGAAGCGGACGUAGAGAACAUGUCGCCGUCCACGUCCGGCUGACGAUGGAUUUUGUCCGGUCGUCUUGCAAAAGCUAAG
Molecule: long non-coding RNA, 366 nt
Organism: Vidua chalybeata
Lineage: Eukaryota; Metazoa; Chordata; Aves; Passeriformes; Viduidae
Exons: 6
Source: RefSeq, a predicted model, not a curated record